This 1304-nucleotide ribosomal RNA is filed under the name metagenome. RNAcentral describes it as "bacterial LSU rRNA". It matches the Rfam family "Bacterial large subunit ribosomal RNA", at positions 1634 to 2910 of the family's 2925-position model. The record is from RNAcentral.
UGAGAUGUCCGUACCGCAAACCGACACAGGUGGGUUAGGCGAGUAGCCUCAGGUGAACGAGUGAAACGUGGUCAAGGAACUCGGCAUAAUGAUCCCGUAACUUCGGAAGAAGGGAUGCCUUUUCAGGUUGCCAGACUUGCUCUGGUUGCUCGAAGAGGCCGCAGAGAAUCGACUCAAGCGACUGUUUAGCAAAAACACAGGUGCGUGCCAAGCCGCAUAAGGCGCCGUAUACGCACUGACUCCUGCCCGGUGCCGGAAGGUUAAGGGGAGAGGUUAGCCGCAAGGCGAAGCUUUGAUCCGAAGCCCCGGUAAACGGCGGCCGUAACAAUAACGGUCCUAAGGUAGCGAAAUUCCUUGUCGGGUAAGUUCCGACCUGCACGAAUGGAGUAACGACUUGAGUACUGUCUCGACCACGUGCUCGGCGAAAUAGCAGUCUCGGUGAGGAUUCCGAGUCCCCGCGACAGGACAAAAAGACCCCAUGCACCUUUACUGCAGCUUGUUAUUGACGAUUGCAUAAGACUGUGUAGCAUAGGUGGGAGCCGUUGAGACGGGGGCGCUAGCUCUCGUGGAGGCAACAGUGAAAUACCACCCUGUGUUCUGUGAUCGUCUCACCGCGGUAGGCAAACCCUACCCGGGACCGUGACAGGUGGGCAGUUUGACUGGGGCGGUCGCCUCCGAAAGAGUAACGGAGGCGCGCGAAGGUUGGCUCAGCGCGGUCGGUAAUCGCGCCUAUAGAGUGUAACGGCAGAAGCCAGCCUGACGGUGAGACCGACGGGUCGAACCGAGACGAAAGUCGGCCGUAGUGAUCCGGUAGACCGGUGUGGAUCGGCUAUCGCGCAACGGAUAAAAGGUACGCUGGGGAUAACAGGCUUAUCGCGCCCGAGAGUUCACAUCGACGGCGCGGUUUGGCACCUCGAUGUCGGCUUGUCACAUCCUGGGGCUGGAGAAGGUCCCAAGGGUCCGGCUGUUCGCCGGUUAAAGUGGCACAUGAGCUGGGUUCAGAACGUCGUGAGACAGUUCGGUCUGUAUCCGUCGUUGGCGUUGGAGGGUUGAGGGGUGCGAACUCUAGUACGAGAGGACCGAGUUGGACGAUCCGCUCGUGUCCCGGCUGUGGCGCCAGCUGCAACGCCGGGUAGCGAUGAUCGGUGGCGAUAACCGCUGAAAGCAUCUAAGUGGGAAGCGUCCCCCAAGAUGAACCCUCCCUGGGAACUUGAUUCCCCUAAAGGGCCGGAGAGACUACUCCGUCGAUAGGCAACAAGUGGAAGUAGCGCAAGCUAUUACGAGCUCAGCUGUCCUAAUCGCCC